AGCAGCCACGGUAAUUCCAGCUCCAAUAGCGUAUAUUAAAGUUGCUGCAGUUAAAAAGCUCGUAGUUGAAUUUCGGGAUCAAGGAAUCGGUCAUGCCUCGGUAUGUACUGGUUUUAUUGGUUCUCACCUUCUAAAGAACCAUGAUGUCAUUCAUUUGAUGUUAUGGGGAAUUAGGACUGUUACCUUGAAAAAAUUAGAGUGUUUAAAGCAAGCUUACGCUUGAAUACAUUAGCAUGGAAUAAUGAAAUAGGACAUCCGAUUCUAUUUUGUUGGUUUCUAGGAUCGAUGUAAUGAUUAAUAGGGAUAGUUGGGGGCAUUAGUAUUCAAUUGUCAGAGGUGAAAUUCUUGGAUUUAUUGAAGACUAACUACUGCGAAAGCAUUUGCCAAGGAUGUUUUCAUUAAUCAAGAACGAAAGUUAGGGGAUCGAAGACGAUCAGAUACCGUCGUAGUCUUAACCAUAAACUAUGCCGACUAGGGAUCGGAUGAUGUUAAUUUUUUAAUGACUCAUUCGGCGCCUUAC
This 520-nucleotide ribosomal RNA is filed under the name uncultured Glomus. RNAcentral describes it as "SSU rRNA". It matches the Rfam family "Eukaryotic small subunit ribosomal RNA", at positions 569 to 1091 of the family's 1831-position model. The record is from RNAcentral. Lineage: Eukaryota; Fungi; Glomeromycota; Glomeromycetes; Glomerales; Glomeraceae.